Molecule: ribosomal RNA, 440 nt
Filed under: uncultured bacterium
Lineage: Bacteria
Description: partial 16S ribosomal RNA
Rfam family: Bacterial small subunit ribosomal RNA
Source: RNAcentral
CCUACGGGUGGCUGCAGUGGGGAAUAUUGCACAAUGGGGGAAACCCUGAAGCAGCAACGCCGCGUGGGGGAUGAAGGUUUUCGGAUUGUAAACUCCUAUUGUUAGGGAAGAUAAUGACGGUAUCUAACGAAUAAGCACCGGCUAACUACAUGCCAGCAGCCGCGGUAAUACGUAGGGGGCAAGCGUUACCCGGAAUUACUGGGCGUAAAGAGCGCGUAGGCGGGAUAGCAAGUCUGAAGUGAAAUCCUAUGGCUUAACCAUAGAACUGCAUUUGAAACUGUUAUUCUAGAGUACGGGAGAGGUAGGUGGAAUUCUUGGUGUAGGGGUAAAAUCCGUAGAGAUCAAGAGGAAUACUCAUUGCGAAGGCGACCUGCUAGAACAUAACUGACGCUGAUGCGCGAAAGCGUGGGGAGCAAACAGGAUUAGAUACCCCAGUAGUC